GAUGAACGCUGGCGGCGUGCCUAAUACAUGCAAGUCGAGCGAACAGACGAGGAGCUUGCUCCUCUGACGUUAGCGGCGGACGGGUGAGUAACACGUGGAUAACCUAUCUAUAAGACUGGGAUAACUUCGGGAAACCGGAGCUAAUACCGGAUAAUAUAUUGAACCGCAUGGUUCAAUAGUGAAUGACGGUUUUGCUGUCACUUAUAGAUGGAUCCGCGCCGCAUUAGCUAGUUGGUAAGGUAACGGCUUACCAAGGCAACGAUGCGUAGCCGACCUGAGAGGGUGAUCGGCCACACUGGAACUGAUACACGGUCCAGACUCCUACGGGAGGCAGCAGUAGGGACUCUUCCGCAAUGGGCGGAAGCCUGACGGAGCAACGCCGCGUGAGUGAUGAAGGUCUUCGGAUCGUAAAACUCUGUUAUUAGGGAAGAACAAAUGUGUAAGUAAGUAUGCACGUCUUGACGGUACCUAAUCAGAAAGCCACGGCUAACUACGUG
This 497-nucleotide ribosomal RNA is filed under the name uncultured bacterium. RNAcentral describes it as "partial 16S ribosomal RNA". It matches the Rfam family "Bacterial small subunit ribosomal RNA", at positions 28 to 507 of the family's 1533-position model. The record is from RNAcentral.